Molecule: long non-coding RNA, 210 nt
Filed under: Elaeis guineensis (African oil palm)
Lineage: Eukaryota; Viridiplantae; Streptophyta; Magnoliopsida; Arecales; Arecaceae
Description: long non-coding RNA (EGUI_LNC061309)
Source: RNAcentral
CCAGUUCAGAGAAUUUUGCAUCGAGCUCGGCAUUACACAUUGUCUCACCUCGGUGGCUCAUUCACAAACCAACAGAAAAGUCAAGGUAAUGAAUAGGACUUUACUGUAGGGACUAAAGAUGAGGCUAGUUCAUACCAAAGGUCGAGAUUCUCUUUCAAAGACAAUUGGAAAGACAAUAGAGAAGAAAGUUCCAACAGUUUAGUAGGCCCA